CGAGCAUUUCGUAAUUAAAAGUUAAGAAUACUUGGUAGGGUGGUUGUUAAAUUGGUUAUCUUGUAUCAUAUUUCAGGAGAUGACGAGAAUAUUGAAAUCAUGACCAGUCCAUAACUUGGUGAGUGGAUAUAAAACUUAUUUUUCAGAAAUUAAUUAUUUAUUAAAUUUACGUUAGAUUAGAAAAUUUACUUUUUCAUACAGUUGAUUUGACAACAUGAUUUUUUAGAAUAAAGUGGAUUUAUAAUCAGUUGUUUUUAAAGUGAAAUUCAGUUUAAUUAAAUCAUUUCAAUAGCAUGUCUCCAUUCGUAUACAUGUUUCAGUAUAGUUAAAGUUAUUUCUAAAAACCACCAGAAAGUGCCCAGGUGAUUUUACCCCAGCCUGAACUGGUGUGAAUGUGUUUCCACAGUGUAUGACAAGUUAUGGUGAUUUUACUCACUUUGCACUAUUGUGAAUGUGUUUCCAUAGUGUAUGACCAGAUUAUCAGAGGUCUUUGGGACCCACUCUCAUACACAUAUAGGCUUUAGGUCGUGUACUAGGGUGAUUAGCCUUUGGGGCAGCUCUGCGUACGUAUAACCAUAUUAUCAGAUUACCAGAUUAUCAGAAUAUCAGAUUUGAGUGGUUUUGCCUUGUACAUCGAGAUUACUCUGUACAUGGGUAAGGCUAUUCAUUGGGUACCUUUUUGUAUGAUUUUUCAGUAUUUCUACAAAUUAUUAGAUUUCAGAUUAUAGAAUUCAGUUAACUCAGUUUUCAGAAUAAAGCUUUCAGCUUAUAGUAUUGAUCAACAACAAUAUUUCAUAGAUUUUCACGGAUGUCAUAGUAUUUAUAUUCGUCACAUUUUACAGUUACUUAUCUAGAAUGAAGAACAAAGAAUUUUAUGAUAUAUUCAUAUUUGAUUGUAAAAAGUGUUACCAGAUUUCAGAAUUUCUUAAAAUUUCAAUAGAGCAAGAAUUUUCAGAAAAUAUGUAUAAAUGAGAAAAGUAUACUUAUUUGCAAAUUAUCCACUCACUGAACUUUAAGCUGAUAUAUUUUUCACAUUUUUUCUUUAUCAGGCAGAUAGCAGCCGAAUUGGGUAGCUUUGGAGCCUGUCGAACCACUAAAUUGAGCCACGCGUCAUAGGUUGUAUGAUAUCCUUUAUCAAAUUAUACAUUAUAUGAUCUUUUGGGAUACAUGUAGCUUAAAUCAGAAAAGUUCAAUAUGGGCUCAUUAGAUAGUUGAUAUCUUUAGUAUGUUUGAGGAUUGUUGAUUGUAAAGCAAGUGAAUGUUUAUUUGUCAGCAUUUUAUUUGAAUAGUUUGUAAUUUGAGGGGCCGUCUUACUCUAUUCAUAUUAUAGGUAUUGAUUUGAAGAAAAUUGAUUAUUGUUCAGGUGGUUUUAGUUUAUAUUUUAGGAAAAACUCUGUCAAAAUUUUGUUAAAAAUAAUUUUUAGUCAAGCAAGUCAAAUUGACUUGGUGGUGGGUCCGACGUUUAGCUGGUAUCUAUCAUCGAAGCACGACACGUAUCGAAUCUCCUAAGAUGAUUCGGACGGGUCGUGUCAAUUGGUAUCGGAGCAUGGUUUAGUGGUUGUUAAGCUCGAGUAAUUAUGAGUUUUUUUUUUCGAAAUAGCAUGUCAUUGAGAUUAUUAACCGUGGCAUGGUGGCAGAACUCACAGGCUCCAAUGUGGUAUUUGAAACUCAUAUUGCCCUUGAUAACGAGAAUAUGGCAUCUAAGAAACAAGAAGGAACUUUAUUGAUUUGAGCAUAAUAAGUAUGAGGAUGUUAUUGAGAAUUAUCCGAUGGUAAUGGAGUUGUUAGAGUUGUCAUGUUGGGGCCAUGUUAUAUUUUCUCUAAUAUACUGUAUAUCCAGCAGCCAGUUAAGUGAAAAGUAUAAUUUUUAUUGGUAAUGAGAUUUAUUAGGUUAUGAGUUUUUUUUUUAUGACUAUUAGAGGAAAAUGUCUUGUAGAUGCCUUGGAUGAUAAAUAUGGUCUAAUGUUGAUAUAUGUAUAGUUGGUGAUAUUACAAGAUGAAAUCACGAUUGUUUUGUAAAUCUAAAGGAUUGUGCUAUUAUGAGAAUUAUUGUGGAAAUUGUGAUCAUAUUUAGUAUAUGGAGGAAGAUGCAUAUAUUAGAAAAUCAAGAUGUGGAGUUAUGAUAAGGAAUCUUGUUUAUGAAAAAUAAAUAAUGAAACCAUAUGGAAUGUUGAUUCGCGACGAAAAAUGGUGUUAUUAAAUAUGUUUUACUUUGCGAUUUUGAGUAAAUUAAUGUGAUCGUGGCCUAUCUUUUGUUGAUUCUGGGACAAGCAAGUAUCUAGGUUUGUACUUCAACUACUAUUGAAGGAAAGAUGAUUGGAAUUUAUGUUGGUAUGUGUGUAUCUAAUGGGUGACAUAAAUAAGAAAUAGCAUAAAGUUGAAGAACGGGAGAAAAUUAGCAUGAUUAAAUGUUGAGAUCAUACGAUAUUAAGAUAUUCAAUGUAACAAGGUUUUAUGAUUCCAAAGGGCAUUGUGAAUGGUAGUGCACUAAAUUUAUAAUUAAUGGUACGUCAAAAUAAUAUUGGGAUGAUAUAUUUAGAAUGCAAAGUGAAAUACUCUUCCCAUGACCAUGAUUGGGAUUAUUGUGUUAGAUUAAAAUAGAUUGAAAUGACAUGUUAAAUUGUAAGUAUAAGUUGAGUUCUUUGAGUUUUGUGUUGCUAUUGGAUUACUAUGUCUGCAAUUGUGAUUUUGGAUUUCAUGAAUUAAGAAUUUCAUUCUCAUCGAAGUAAUAUGAUAAGGAAUUCAUGGAUGACGGGUUACCUCAUUGUCGAGACUAGGAUUAAAGAAUGUUUAUUUUGGAUAUGAAGGUAACUUAGCUAAGGUUAUUCUAGCAUAAAACUUUUAUAGAUAUUUGAAGAUC
RNAcentral lists this long non-coding RNA (2860 nucleotides) under Olea europaea subsp. europaea. The record is from RNAcentral. Lineage: Eukaryota; Viridiplantae; Streptophyta; Magnoliopsida; Lamiales; Oleaceae.